RNAcentral lists this ribosomal RNA (680 nucleotides) under uncultured Oceanospirillaceae bacterium. RNAcentral's name for it is "bacterial SSU rRNA". It matches the Rfam family "Bacterial small subunit ribosomal RNA", at positions 73 to 747 of the family's 1533-position model. Lineage: Bacteria; Pseudomonadati; Pseudomonadota; Gammaproteobacteria; Oceanospirillales; Oceanospirillaceae. The record is from RNAcentral.
GAAGUGCUUGCACUUCGCUGACGAGCGGCGGACGGGUGAGUAACGCGUAGGAAUCUGCCUGGUAGUGGGGGACAACAUGUGGAAACGCAUGCUAAUACCGCAUACGCCCUGAGGGGGAAAGAUGGGGAUCUUCGGACCUAUCGCUAUCAGAUGAGCCUGCGUAAGAUUAGCUAGUUGGUGGGGUAAUGGCCUACCAAGGCGACGAUCUUUAGCUGGUCUGAGAGGAUGAUCAGCCACACUGGGACUGAGACACGGCCCAGACUCCUACGGGAGGCAGCAGUGGGGAAUAUUGCACAAUGGGCGCAAGCCUGAUGCAGCCAUGCCGCGUGUGUGAAGAAGGCUUUCGGGUUGUAAAGCACUUUCAGCGAGGAGGAAAGGAUAGUAGCUAAUAUCUGCUAUCUGUGACGUUACUCGCAGAAGAAGCACCGGCUAACUCCGUGCCAGCAGCCGCGGUAAUACGGAGGGUGCAAGCGUUAAUCGGAAUUACUGGGCGUAAAGCGCGCGUAGGCGGUUUGUUAAGCUAGAUGUGAAAGCCCCGGGCUCAACCUGGGAACUGCAUUUAGAACUGGCAGGCUAGAAUACGGUAGAGGUUAGUGGAAUUUCCUGUGUAGCGGUGAAAUGCGUAGAGAUGGGAAGGAACACCAGUGGCGAAGGCGACUGACUGGACCGAUAUUGACGCU